GAAGAACUUACGGUGAUUGUUUUUGAAAGUGAGGCGCUUUGCCAUAACAUGUUGCAAAGACUUGAAACAAAUACAAAAAAUAUGUGCGAAACAAAAGAAAUUCUAAAGGAAACGAGUGAACAAAUCUCCAAUAUGAAAACGUCAUCAAAUGUGACAAAUCAAAAAGAAAACAGUAAUAGAAGAUAUGCCGCCAAGACCACAGGUAAACAAAUUUUGAGGAAUUAGAAGAUUAUCUCUGCCUACUACAACAAGCAGGCUUCUUUGAACUGCUAUUGUCCCAGAUAGGUGGUAAUGGGAAAAAGAACAAUGUGGAGCGUAUAUUAA
Molecule: long non-coding RNA, 324 nt
Organism: Zophobas morio
Lineage: Eukaryota; Metazoa; Arthropoda; Insecta; Coleoptera; Tenebrionidae
Exons: 3
Source: RefSeq, a predicted model, not a curated record